UGAUCCUGGCUCAGAUUGAACGCUGGCGGUAUGCUUAACACAUGCAAGUCGAACGGAAACGAUACUAGCUUGCUAGUAGGCGUCGAGUGGCGGACGGGUGAGUAACGCGUAGGAAUCUGCCUGAUAGUGGGGGAUAGCCCGGAGAAAUUCGGAUUAAUACCGCAUAAUCUAUUCGUAGUAAAGUGGGGGACUUUCGAGCCUCACGCUAUCAGAUGAGCCUGCGUAAGAUUAGCUAGUUGGUAGGGUAAAAGCCUACCAAGGCGACGAUCUUUAGCUGGUCUGAGAGGAUGAUCAGCCACAUCGGGACUGAGACACGGCCCGAACUCCUACGGGAGGCAGCAGUGGGGAAUAUUGGACAAUGGGGGCAACCCUGAUCCAGCAAUACCGCGUGUGUGAAGAAGGCCUGAGGGUUGUAAAGCACUUUCAAUUGUGAAGAAAAGUUAACGGUUAAUAACCGUUAGCCUUGACGUUAACUUUAGAAGAAGCACCGGCUAACUCCGUGCCAGCAGCCGCGGUAAUACGGAGGGUGCAAGCGUUAAUCGGAAUUACUGGGCGUAAAGCGUGCGUAGGCGGUUUAUUAAGUCAGAUGUGAAAGCCCCGGGCUUAACCUGGGAACUGCAUUUGAAACUGGUAAACUAGAGUAUGGUAGAGGAAAGUGGAAUUUCUGGUGUAGCGGUGAAAUGCGUAGAUAUCAGAAGGAACAUCAAUGGCGAAGGCAGCUUUCUGGACCAAUACUGACGCUGAGGUACGAAAGCGUGGGUAGCAAACAGGAUUAGAUACCCUGGUAGU
Molecule: ribosomal RNA, 789 nt
Filed under: uncultured marine bacterium
Lineage: Bacteria
Description: bacterial SSU rRNA
Rfam family: Bacterial small subunit ribosomal RNA
Source: RNAcentral